This is a long non-coding RNA of Cavia porcellus (domestic guinea pig), 2003 nucleotides long. NCBI's taxonomy places the organism in Eukaryota, Metazoa, Chordata, Mammalia, Rodentia, Caviidae. The record is from Ensembl.
CAGGUGCCAACCUUCUUCUCCUUCUGGCCUGUAGAAGCCUCUGGACUGAUUUAACAGAUUACCUGCUUGGUUUGGGAGAGAGGAAUGUGGUAAAAGGGCAAAAAACCCAGACAAACAAAUAGAUCAGUUAUCCCAGUACAUACUUCUGCAGCACCUUUUAGUUUAGGUGCCAAGCAUAUUCCAGGACUAGGGAGAGGUAUGAGCAGGUGAACUCUGCCCCUCCUCUCCAGAGGAGCCUGCAGGGCACACAGUGGUGGUUAUAUUGGCUGCCAUGGGGAAGCCCUACUGUGUGCCAGCCCUGUGUUACUUCACUCUUUCCAACAACAUAAUGAUACAAAUGCUGCUAUUGUCCUUGCCUAUUUAUUUAUUCAUUUACUCAUUAACAGUGCAGGGGAUUGAGCCCAGAGGCAUCACACUGAGCUGCACCCCAUCUUUUUUUAGUUUUUGAAACAAGGUCUCAUUAAGUCACUAAGUUGCCCAGUCUGAGCUACAACUUUGAUCCUCCUGCCUCAGCCUCCUGAAUAGCAGAAACCACAGAUGGGAGCUACCACACCCAAUCCAAGAAGUUUUUAAUGUCAUAAUGGGGUUCCAGAUGUUCCUCUGCUGACAGAUGGAGAAAUGGUCAGGACAGCUCUGAAUCGAGGUCAUUGUGGUGAUGGCAGUGAUGGAGCCAGCUGUUAACACUGCGGGAAAACUGCCCACUGCAGGAAAACUGCCCGCAGAUGACAUGUUACCAGGACCAGCACACCGAAGCAGGCAGAGGAGCAGAGCCAGCACGUGCAGGUGGCCGGGAACUGCAUUUAUCAAAAAAACCCUGUGUGGCCUCGUGGAAACCCUUCUGCUAUCCCGAUUUGAGUGAGAAUCAAAGUGAUCACAAGUAAAGGCUCUGGAGCAGGCGAGGUCAGACUGAUGGGGGCCACGAUCGAUCCACAAAGUGCCUGGCGCUGCUGUGCUGGACCAAAGGGCUCCAGUCUCUGAAGGUAGCACCGUCCUGCUGGGCAGGAUGAGAGCAAGAUGAAGCUGGGUUACCUCCUGGGCUGAAGGUUGAGGAGAGGCACCUCAAGCCCCAGGCUUCAAGCUGGACCUGGCCUAGCCCGUUGCCAAUGCCGUAUUAGGGUCCACAGGCAGGUGACAAACACAGCAGCCUCCACUGUCACAGGCUCCCACCCAGCAUCACCUCCCCCUCCACGCUCCAUGUGGGGGAGGCUGCCCAGACUUCAGGAGAAGGGCAGGGUGGGGAGGAGCUCGAGCUGAGGGGCAGCCCUGCACACCCUGGCUGCGGGACUCUCUUUUUCCAGCCAGAUAAUAAAACCUACAGUGGGAAAUACUCAUACGCCAAACCCAUCCCGUUCCUAGGUCUGUAGGCAACAGCUGUCUGUGAGUGUGUGAGAAAAGACCAAUUAAACCACACAGAAGUAUCUUCCAUAGUAGGCAAAAUAUGGGAGCAACGCAAUCUCCAUUAACAGUGGUGGGGACAAAAGGCACUUGUCCGUGCGAGUGCCCUAUCCUCAGUUUCUGAGCACCCUUGUCCAGAAUCAAUUAACCAUGCAUCUCAGACUUUAUUUCCACACUCUCAAUGUCAAAUUUACUACCUGUUCCAUAUUGUCUUAGUCAUACAACUUUCAUUUUGAAAUGAAGAAGGGUGCAUGUGCAAAAUUUGUUCAUUACUUCUCAAAAUUGCUUUUAGUUACUCUGGAUCCUUGUAAUUCCAUUAUGACUUCUGCAAUCAGCUUGUUGAUAUCUGCAAAGAAAUGACUGAGUUAAUCUAUUGAUAACUCUAGGAAAUACAUUUUAACAAUACUUUUACCUAUCGAUAAUAUGGUGUGUCUUUCCUUUUAGUUAAGUCUUUAUUAUUUCAAAAUGUUUUGUAGUUUUCAAAAUCUAAUACUUGUUUCUUUGCUAAAUCUAUUCUUAAGUACUUUAUUCUUUUUGGUGCUAUUACACAUGGAAUUGUUUUCCUGUUUUUUUUUUUUGUUUUCCUAAUUUAAGUUUCUAUUCCAUUA